AUUGAACGCUGGCGGCAGGCCUAACACAUGCAAGUCGGACGGUAGCACAGAGGAGCUUGCUCCUCGGGUGACGAGUGGCGGACGGGUGAGUAAUGUCUGGGGAUCUGCCCGAUAGAGGGGGAUAACCACUGGAAACGGUGGCUAAUACCGCGUAACGUCGCAAGACCAAAGAGGGGGACCUUCGGGCCUCUCACUAUCGGAUGAACCCAGAUGGGAUUAGCUAGUAGGCGGGGUAACGGCCCACCUAGGCGACGAUCCCUAGCUGGUCUGAGAGGAUGACCAGCCACACUGGAACUGAGACACGGUCCAGACUCCUACGGGAGGCAGCAGUGGGGAAUAUUGCACAAUGGGCGCAAGCCUGAUGCAGCCAUGCCGCGUGUAUGAAGAAGGCCUGCGGGUUGUAAAGUACUUUCAGCGGGGAGGAAGGCGAUGUGGUUAAUAACCGCGUCGAUUGACGUUACCCGCAGAAGAAGCACCGGCUAACUCCGUGCCAGCAGCCGCAGUAA
This 506-nucleotide ribosomal RNA is filed under the name uncultured bacterium. Its description in RNAcentral is "partial 16S ribosomal RNA". It matches the Rfam family "Bacterial small subunit ribosomal RNA", at positions 29 to 523 of the family's 1533-position model. The record is from RNAcentral.